This 662-nucleotide long non-coding RNA is filed under the name Salvia miltiorrhiza (redroot sage). RNAcentral's name for it is "long non-coding RNA (SMIL_LNC011863)". Lineage: Eukaryota; Viridiplantae; Streptophyta; Magnoliopsida; Lamiales; Lamiaceae. The record is from RNAcentral.
UCCAUUCUUUUCAAUUAACCCACUAUGACAUUCACCACACAAAGAUCCACAUAUACUACAUCACCCCCUAUCAUCCGGCUAAAGUGUAAAAGCUAAAUAGGCUCAAAGUGGAUAACAAAUGAUAAUUGUCCGUUAAGGACAGUGUUUGGGAAAAAAUGUAGCUAACAAAAUAUGGCCUAAAAUCAUCUCCUAAUCUUGGGCACAACAACAACCUCAACACAGAAACCAUGGCAAGUUAUAAAAGAUCACCACAUGCAUGACCAAAUUCACAACAAAGAAUAAACUGUGUAUAAUAAACAGUUAUGGCUCAAAAUCUCACAGGUUUAUUCAACGUCCCAAAAUCAAGGUCAAAAAUCACCCUAAAGUUAUGCAAAUUAGUUCCAAUUAUGCUCAACUUAUCAAAGAAGAUUGAAUUUCAAGAAAAUUUUAUCACAGAAAUCAUCAUAAGCCUCACACCAAAAAUCUAAAGGAGUAAUAAACAACUCAAAAGCAUCGCAGAAAAGCACCAACCAACAAAAACAGAAUAUAUCAAGUAAAUAAAGAACAAGCCAGACUCUAAGACUUUACGAAAACAGAACACAAGCAAAGAAGACUAAGACAAGCGAAUAAAAGAGAAUAAAAGCAAGAAAAAUAAUGUAAAACAUAACCAAUCUCCAUCCCCC